UGGCGAACGGGUGAGUAACGCGUGAGGAACCUGCCUAAAAGAGGGGGACAACAGUUGGAAACGACUGCUAACACCGCAUAAGCCCACGGCUCGGCAUCGAGCAGGGGGAAAAGGAGUGAUCCACUUUGAGAUGGCCUCGCGUCCGAUUAGCUAGUUGGUGAGGUAACGGCCCACCAAGGCGACGAUCGGUAGCCGGACUGAGAGGUUGAACGGCCACAUUGGGACUGAGACACGGCCCAG
RNAcentral lists this ribosomal RNA (240 nucleotides) under uncultured bacterium. RNAcentral's name for it is "partial 16S ribosomal RNA". It matches the Rfam family "Bacterial small subunit ribosomal RNA", at positions 96 to 334 of the family's 1533-position model. The record is from RNAcentral.